GUUUGAUCCUGGCUCAGAUUGAACGCUGGCGGCAUGCUUUACACAUGCAAGUCGAACGGCAGCACGGGCUUCGGCCUGGUGGCGAGUGGCGAACGGGUGAGUAAUGCAUCGGAACGUGCCCAUGUCGUGGGGGAUAACGUAGCGAAAGCUACGCUAAUACCGCAUACGCCCUGAGGGGGAAAGCGGGGGAUUCUUCGGAACCUCGCGCGAUUGGAGCGGCCGAUGUCGGAUUAGCUAGUAGGUGAGGUAAAGGCUCACCUAGGCGACGAUCCGUAGCGGGUCUGAGAGGAUGAUCCGCCACACUGGGACUGAGACACGGCCCAGACUCCUACGGGAGGCAGCAGUGGGGAAUUUUGGACAAUGGGGGCAACCCUGAUCCAGCCAU
Molecule: ribosomal RNA, 385 nt
Filed under: Thauera sp. R-26906
Lineage: Bacteria; Pseudomonadati; Pseudomonadota; Betaproteobacteria; Rhodocyclales; Zoogloeaceae
Description: bacterial SSU rRNA
Rfam family: Bacterial small subunit ribosomal RNA
Source: RNAcentral